RNAcentral lists this ribosomal RNA (492 nucleotides) under uncultured bacterium. RNAcentral describes it as "partial 16S ribosomal RNA". It matches the Rfam family "Bacterial small subunit ribosomal RNA", at positions 29 to 507 of the family's 1533-position model. The record is from RNAcentral.
AGUGAACGCUGGCGGUAGGCCUAACACAUGCAAGUCGAACGGCAGCACAGUAAGAGCUUGCUCUUACGGGUGGCGAGUGGCGGACGGGUGAGGAAUACAUCGGAAUCUACUUUUUCGUGGGGGAUAACGUAGGGAAACUUACGCUAAUACCGCAUACGACCUACGGGUGAAAGCAGGGGAUCUUCGGACCUUGCGCGAUUGAAUGAGCCGAUGUCGGAUUAGCUAGUUGGCGGGGUAAAGGCCCACCAAGGCGACGAUCCGUAGCUGGUCUGAGAGGAUGAUCAGCCACACUGGAACUGAGACACGGUCCAGACUCCUACGGGAGGCAGCAGUGGGGAAUAGUGGACAAUGGGCGCAAGCCUGAUCCAGCCAUACCGCGUGAGUGAAGAAGGCCUUCGGGUUGUAAAGCCCUUUUGUUGGGAAAGAAAAGCAGCAGGUUAAUACCCCGCUGUUCUGACGGUACCCAAAGAAUAAGCACCGGCUAACUUCGUG